This 76-nucleotide transfer RNA is filed under the name Anaerostipes hadrus. RNAcentral's name for it is "tRNA-OTHER". It matches the Rfam family "tRNA". From Rfam's summary of the family: Transfer RNA (tRNA) molecules are approximately 80 nucleotides in length. RNAcentral also lists the same sequence under 2 other names. Lineage: Bacteria; Bacillati; Bacillota; Clostridia; Lachnospirales; Lachnospiraceae. The record is from RNAcentral.
UGCACAGUGGAAAAGUUGGUAAAUUCGCUCGUUCCAUUUGGUUCUGGAGACGUAGGUUCAAAUCCUACCUGUGCAA